Molecule: non-coding RNA, 97 nt
Organism: Mycena vulgaris
Lineage: Eukaryota; Fungi; Basidiomycota; Agaricomycetes; Agaricales; Mycenaceae
Source: the annotation of a GenBank genome assembly
GGCCCGGAAGCACAUGGUGUGCACCUGCAUUUCUUUACGUCGAGGAGAGGGAUAAAGUGUACUGCAGGAGGCGCUCGUUCGACCCGAGCCCGGGCCA